UUUUGGACAAUUGGGGCAACCCUGAUCCAGCAAUGCCGCGUGAGUGAAGAAGGCCUUCGGGUUGUAAAGCUCUUUUGUCAGGGAAGAAACACCGGCUCUAACACAGUCCGGGAAUGACGGUACCUGAAGAAUAAGCACCGGCUAACUACGUGCCAGCAGCCGCGGUAAUACGUAGGGUGCAGGCGUUAAUCGGAAUUACUGGGCGUAAAGCGUGCGCAGGCGGUUUGUUAAGACAGGUGUGAAAUCCCCGGGCUUAACCUGGGAAUUGCGCUUGUAACUGGCAGACUGGAGUGUGGCAGAGGGGGGUGGAAUUCCAAGUGUAGCAGUGAAAUGCGUAGAUAUUUGGAGGAACACCGAUGGCGAAGGCAGCCCCCUGGGCUAACACUGACGCUCAUGCACGAA
RNAcentral lists this ribosomal RNA (402 nucleotides) under uncultured bacterium. Its description in RNAcentral is "bacterial SSU rRNA". It matches the Rfam family "Bacterial small subunit ribosomal RNA", at positions 362 to 757 of the family's 1533-position model. The record is from RNAcentral.